RNAcentral lists this ribosomal RNA (459 nucleotides) under uncultured bacterium. Its description in RNAcentral is "partial 16S ribosomal RNA". It matches the Rfam family "Bacterial small subunit ribosomal RNA", at positions 338 to 795 of the family's 1533-position model. The record is from RNAcentral.
CCUACGGGUGGCAGCAGUGAGGAAUAUUGGUCAAUGGCCGAGAGCCUGAACCAGCCAAGUCGCGUGAGGGAAGAAUGUCCUAUGGAUUGUAAACCUCUUUUGUCAGGGAGCAAAGUCAGCCACGUGUGGGCGUAGGAGAGUACCUGAAGAAAAAGCAUCGGCUAACUCCGUGCCAGCAGCCGCGGUAAUACGGAGGAUGCGAGCGUUAUCCGGAUUUAUUGGGUUUAAAGGGUGCGAAGGCGGGUUAUCAAGUCAGCGGUAAAAUCUGGGAGCUAAACACCAUCCAGCCGUUGAAACUGGUGAUCUUGAGUGGGGGAGAAGUAUGCGGAAGGCGUGGUGUAGCGGUGAAAUGCAUAGAUAUCACGAAGAACUCCGAUGGCGAAGGCAGCAUACCGGCGCCCGACUGACGCUGAGGCACGAAAGCGUGGGUAUCGAACAGGAUUAGAUACCCGGGUAGUC